GACGAACGCUGGCGGCGUGCCUAAUACAUGCAAGUCGAACGAGAGCAACCGGUGCUUGCACUGGUCAAUCUAGUGGCGAACGGGUGAGUAACACGUGGGUAACCUGCCCAUCAGAGGGGGAUAACAUCCGGAAACGGAUGCUAAAACCGCAUAGGUCUUCGAACCGCAUGGUUUGAAGAGGAAAAGAGGCGCAAGCUUCUGCUGAUGGAUGGACCCGCGGUGCAUUAGCUAGUUGGUGAGGUAACGGCUCACCAAGGCCGUGAUGCAUAGCCGACCUGAGAGGGUGAUCGGCCACAUUGGGACUGAGACACGGCCCAAACUCCUACGGGAGGCAGCAGUAGGGAAUCGUCCGCAAUGGACGCAAGUCUGACGGAGCAACGCCGCGUGAGUGAAGAAGGUUUUCGGAUCGUAAAACUCUGUUGUUAGAGAAGAACAAGUGCUAGAGUAACUGUUAGCGCCUUGACGGGAUCUAACCAGAAAGCCACGGCUAACUACG
This 496-nucleotide ribosomal RNA is filed under the name uncultured bacterium. Its description in RNAcentral is "partial 16S ribosomal RNA". It matches the Rfam family "Bacterial small subunit ribosomal RNA", at positions 28 to 505 of the family's 1533-position model. The record is from RNAcentral.